RNAcentral lists this ribosomal RNA (471 nucleotides) under uncultured bacterium. Its description in RNAcentral is "bacterial SSU rRNA". It matches the Rfam family "Bacterial small subunit ribosomal RNA", at positions 355 to 825 of the family's 1533-position model. The record is from RNAcentral.
UGGGGAAUCUUGCGCAAUGGGCGAAAGCCUGACGCAGCGACGCCGCGUGAGUGAUGAAGGCCUUCGGGUUGUAAAGCUCUGUGGGGAGAGAAGAAUAAGUGCGGGCUAAUACCCCGCAUGAUGACGGUAUCUCCUUAGCAAGCACCGGCUAACUCUGUGCCAGCAGCCGCGGUAAGACAGAGGGUGCAAACGUUGUUCGGAAUUACUGGGCGUAAAGCGAGUGUAGGCGGUUUGGUAAGUCGGAUGUGAAAGCCCCGGGCUCAACCCGGGAAGUGCAUUCGAUACUGCCAAGCUAGAGUAUCGGAGAGGUUGGUGGAAUUCUCGGUGUAGAGGUGAAAUUCGUAGAUAUCGAGAGGAACACCGGUGGCGAAGGCGGCCAACUGGACGAAUACUGACGCUGAGACUCGAAAGCGUGGGGAGCAAACAGGAUUAGAUACCCCCGUAGUCCCUGAGCGGGCUGGCAAGGCGCAU